AUGGCGACGCACACUGACAACGUUUGGCUAAACAUAAACAACACGUGGAGAUUUUAAUUCGUUGCAUUAUAAGUUGGCUUGGAAGUUUGUUUUUUAAUUUAUUAGUGACAAAAUACGCCGGUUUUGACAAUGUCAAAGCGUAGUGAUAAAAUAAUGACACUUGUGAAGGCACAAUCUAAACCAAAAACCAAUACAUCGGUUAUCUAUGUGUAAUAAAGAAAAUGUUGUUUCAAAUAAUUUUUUAUAUACAUUGGUUUCUUGUGAUAAUAAAUAUGGGGACAAGAUAUUAGGACCACAGGAACAAGAUAUUUUGCAGGACUUUCAGGAGACAGGAGAAAAUCCCACUCGAUGAUUACAAUAUUAUUAGUAAUGAAAAUGAUGUUCCUGUUGGUUUGACUGCAUUUCCAGACCCCUCUGAUUAAGAUGUGCUUCAAGAACUAGCAGAAAUUCCACUAGAUGAUGAUGUUAUGCAGUGCAUUGUAAACACACAUUCAAAUAUAACUGUACUGGCUACGGGAAGUGAUUUUCCUGAUACCAUCAUAAUAGAACAACGGAUAGAUGCUGAAAAUAUUACCACUGAACAAAUACACCAUUUUAACCAAAAUACAGAUGCAGGUCCAUUGUAUUUUGAUACAAUCAAUGUAUUUUGAUACAUCAAUCUACAUACAUAACUAUUCAUACAUAACUAUGAACAAAAAAAUAAUGCAAUGCAAGUAAAGAAUGUUUUAACAGAGAGAGAAGUAGGCCACUAUCACAUUGAAGGCGAUUCGGUAAAUCUCUUCACGCAUGGAAGCAACCUAGAACAUCAACUUGAAGUUCAGUUGAGUGCUGAUCAGGGUGGAAUCAUAGGUUCAGCAGACAACCUUGGAGAAGGGAAUGCAAACGAGUUAAGUGAUGAUCACCCUAAAAUCCCAGUUUUGACAGAGAACGUCGUAGAAGAAGAACAUGCAUUGGAACCGGAUAACUUAUAUACUAAAGAGGGAAACUUGAGAAAGAGAAAAAAAUAUGACCUGACGUUGGAAACACGUAAACGUAUAAAAUUAAACCAGAUAAGAGAAGACCAUAGACCGUUGCCGCCGUGCGAUCGUGAUAAAUGCAGAAAAAAAUGCAAUAUUAAAAUCUCAGAAGUUCGACGUUCUGAAAUCAAUCAGCAGUUUUGGAAUUUGUCUUGGUUAGAACGGCGAACAUUUAUUUUUAAUACCUGCAAACGCUUGGCACUGAAAAGGCGACCCAAGUCUGCAGAAAGUGAGAAAAAACAAAAUACUUUUAAGUAUUAUUUCUGCGACGAAAAAUUAUUAACUGAGGCAGUUACUCAUGAAGUCUGUAAGGUAUUUUUCCUUACCACAUUAGGUUAUAAGAAAACUAAUGAUCGGGUGAUAACAGAAGUUUUAUCAAAAACAAAAAAGGAAAUCUUCAACCAAAUCGAGACCAGCGCCGGAAACGCAACAAACACAAUAAAUGUGAACACGAAGACUUACUUGAACAGCACAUUGAAUCGUUUAACCCCACAAUCUCUCAUUAUCGCCGCGAGCACGCGCCGCACAGUAGAUACUUACCCAGUGAUGUGAACAUUUCCCUAAUGUUUGACGAUUUUAAAAAGAAAUACCCCAGUUUUAAAUUGUCGUAUGAAUUGUAUCGCCGAAAAGUGAAGAACUUACGUAUAUCAUUUGCAUCUCUAGGUCACGAAGAAUGCGAAGGUUGUGAAGAAUUUCAAUUGCAUGGCCAUUUGAAGGACAAUCUACAACCUGAUUGUGAGCAAUGUGAAAUCUGGAAAAAACAUAUAGAUAAAGCCAGUGCAGCUCGAAAUCUGUAUCGACAACACGCUGAACAGACGUUUGAAGAUGGUACAGUUUGUUGCUCAGCAGACCUCCAGAAAUUUAUCUUGCUGCCACGAAUUGACUGUAUUAAAAAAGUUAUCUUUACAAAAAGAAUAGUCGCAUAUCACGAAAGUUUUGUUCCAGUUGGCAAAAAAUCAAACAAUAAGCCAUAUGCCUGCAUAUGGCAUGAGGGCAUCACCGGGAAAUAAAGAGGAUAUCGUCAGUACUUUUUAUGCAUUCUUUGUGAAAUACAGAGAUUCACCACGGAUUAUCUUAUGGCUGGACAACUGCUCCAGCAAAAAUAAAAAUUGGUGUUUUCUAGCAUUUUUGAUAUAUUUAUAUUGUGCAUUCGGAUGAAAUGGCCAUUAAUGAAAUAAACAUACACUACUUUGUCCCAGGGUCAUACAUUUAUGUCGGCUGAUAGCUUCCCCCAUCAGGUGGAAGCUGCCUUGAAGAAGCAGAAAAAGACCUAUGAUUUUAAAGAUUUUUCAGAUGCUGUUCAAAGUGCGAAUAAGUCAAAAGUAGAGGUAAAAGAAAUGCAGUACUUUAUUUGUUUUUUGUUCGGAUUUUUUUGUUUGGAAAGACUUUAAGUCACAACAAAAAAUACAAAAGGCAGAAAACAGAUUAUAUCUAGCAGACAUUGUUAAUAUAAAAGCUAUAAGGGGAAGUUAUGAAUUAAAAUGUAAAUCUGAUUUAACGAAAGAUGAUUAUAUAACAUUAGAUUUUUUAUGUAAAAAAAAUAUGAAAAAAAAAUGGAAUGCCUGCACCCUCUCCUUUAAAAGCACCAUGUGGAGUGUCAUUUGAAAAACGAGAAAGUAUUCUCAAAAAUUUAUAGAUUUUUAGAAUUUAUAGAAAUUUUUAGAUCAGCACGGUUUUAUUCCUAAAAGGUCGUGCAUCACUAACCUCUGUAAUGUGACUCAUUUUAUUUCUUCAGCCCUCGAUAGAAAAAGUCAGGUUGAUGUGGUGUAUACUGAUUUCAGUAAGGCUUUCGAUCAGAUAAAUCAUAGCAUUCUGCUGGAAAAAUUGAACAAGCAAUUAAACUUCUCAGAAAGGCUAAUUUCGUUGCUUUCGUCAUACCUUAUUGACCGUCUACAGUUUGUUGAGGUGGAAGGUUGCAGAUCUAAUACCUUUGUUUCAACUUCUGGAGUCCCACAGGGAUCCAAUCUCGGCCCACUUCUUUUUAUCUUUUAUAUUAAUGAUCUUAUAGAAUUGAUUUCCUGCCUUAGACUAGCUUAUGCUGAUAAUCUGAAAAUAUUCUGGUGUAUCAAUAGUAUCUUGGACUGCUUGUUCUUACAGAGUAACUUGGACCUAAUUAGGGGAUGGAGCAGUCGAAAUCAGUUAUGUCUUAACAUCUCGAAAUGCUGUGUAAUCUCCUUUCACCGAACCAAGGAUCCUGUUUUGUUUAAUUACAAUAUAGACAAUCAAAUCCUCUGUAGAAGUACUUCUAUUAAAGAUCUAGGGGUUGUAUUCCACGAUAGGCUCACAUUUGUGCCACAUAUUGAACAGACAGUGACCUCCUCGUUGAAACUUCUGGGUUUUAUCAUUCGAAAUAGCCGACUCUUUAACAACUCAAUAAAACAAUUGUACUUUUCCUUUGUUAGAUCAAGACUGGAAUAUGGUUCCUUGGUGUGGUGUCCUUUCUAUGAAUGCCAUAUUGGCUACAUCGAGAGUGUUCAGAGAAGGGUUUUAAAGUUUCUUAUGUUUCGUGAGGAUGGAAUAUAUCCUGUUAGGGGACAUGAUCAUGAUCUGAUGUUAGGUAGAUUUAAUCUGCAAUCUCUGGCCAUGAGGAGAACAAUUCAUUUUGUAACAUUCUUAUGGAAGUUGGUUAAUAAUCAAAUAAAUUCUCCUCCUCUCUUGAACGAUAUUCUAUUUCAUGUACCACGAUUUGCUUCUAGAGCAAUUAUCACUUUUGCCUUAGAUCGCGCGCCAGAACUAACAUUAGGUUUCAGGAUCCCGUAUAUCAAAUGUGCCGAAUUUUUAAUUCAGUAUCAUCAACCUGUGACAUAUUUGUAUGCUCCAUAAAGGAUCUAGUUUUGUCUCAGACAAACCAACAGUUACCAUAAUUCCUUUUCUCUUCCUUUUUUCCCUUGCCCCAUGAAUCCCUUUCUUUUUCAUUCUAAUGUUAAUUUACAUCUCCUUUAAUUUUGAUAUAUACAUGAUGUUUGUUUAAUUUAUAGUAAUUUAAUACUUGUUUACACUUUCAAAGCAUUAAUUGUAGAUUUUCCUGUAACUAGGCUUUGCCUGUUGGAAAUAAACUGCUAAAUAAAUAAAUAUCCAGUUGAUCCAUAACAAGGUUGAUGAGUAAACCGUACUUCUUGAACAUUAUAAUAGCCCACAUUUCUUGUGCGUACCAGAACAUUGGUUGAGAACUGAUGAACUUUUAUCUACAAAAAUACAAACAUAACAAACUAUAUCAUGUUGUCAUGUUUUCAUAGAUCAAUU
This is a long non-coding RNA of Anthonomus grandis grandis, 4259 nucleotides long. RefSeq lists it as uncharacterized. NCBI's taxonomy places the organism in Eukaryota, Metazoa, Arthropoda, Insecta, Coleoptera, Curculionidae. The transcript has 3 exons. The record is from RefSeq and is a predicted model, not a curated record.